AUCUGCUUUUGAUCUUCUUCACACCAUCCUCAUCCUAACAAAACUCUAGUUCCAUCACGAUGCUGCUGAAACACGUCUUCGUCCUCCUUGUCGUCACUGUCGCCGUCACUAGCGCCUACAGACUGUCCAACUACAAUAAUAGGUUUGGUCUUUAUGGGUACGGCUACGACAUUGACACUCCUGACUUCCCCGACUUCGACUUCCCUUUGUACAUGUAUGGACGUCAUGCACGACGUGGUGGACAACGAUCGCAAAGCAGAUACAACAGUUGGGCGCAACUUACAAGAAUGGAAGCUUACGACCUGAUUUAAAGGAGUGGUAACAUCAUUCGUGUACGACUGGCUUUUUCCAUCCAUCGACCUGAAGAUAUCGGCCGGAAUAUAAUUUAUUGACAUGCAUAUGUAGUAUUUAUUUAGGAAAUAAAAUGGUAAACAUUU
Haliotis rufescens (red abalone) is the source of this 437-nucleotide long non-coding RNA. RefSeq lists it as uncharacterized. Lineage: Eukaryota; Metazoa; Mollusca; Gastropoda; Lepetellida; Haliotidae. The record is from RefSeq and is a predicted model, not a curated record. The transcript has 3 exons.